GAUGAACGCUGGCGGCGUGCCUAAUACAUGCAAGUCGAGCGAACGGACGAGAAGCUUGCUUCUCUGAUGUUAGCGGCGGACGGGUGAGUAACACGUGGAUAACCUACCUAUAAGACUGGGAUAACUUCGGGAAACCGGAGCCAAUACCGGAUAAUGUUUUGAACCGCAUGGUUCAAAAGUGAAAGACGGUCUUGCUGUCACUUAUAGAUGGAUCCGCGCUGCAUUAGCUAGUUGGUAAGGUAACGGCUUACCAAGGCAACGAUGCAUAGCCGACCUGAGAGGGUGAUCGGCCACACUGGAACUGAGACACGGUCCAGACUCCUACGGGAGGCAGCAGUAGGGAAUCUUCCGCAAUGGGCGAAAGCCUGACGGAGCAACGCCGCGUGAGUGAUGAAGGUCUUCGGAUCGUAAAACUCUGUUAUUAGGGAAGAACAUAUGUGUAAGUAACUGUGCACAUCUUGACGGUACCUAAUCAGAAAGCCACGGCUAACUACGUGCCAGCAGCCGCGGUAAUACGUAGGUGGCAAGCGUUAUCCGGAAUUAUUGGGCGUAAAGCGCGCGUAGGCGGUUUUUUAGUCUGAUGUGAAAGCCCACGGCUCAACCGUGGAGGGUCAUUGGAAACUGGAAAACUUGAGUGCAGAAGAGGAAAGUGGAAUUCCAUGUGUAGCGGUGAAAUGCGCAGAGAUAUGGAGGAACACCAGUGGCGAAGGCGACUUUCUGGUCUGUAACUGACGCUGAUGUGCGAAAGCGUGGGGAUCAAACAGGAUUAGAUACCCUGGUAGUCCACGCCGUAAACGAUGAGUGCUAAGUGUUAGGGGGUUUCCGCCCCUUAGUGCUGCAGCUAACGCAUUAAGCACUCCGCCUGGGGAGUACGACCGCAAGGUUGAAACUCAAAGGAAUUGACGGGGACCCGCACAAGCGGUGGAGCAUGUGGUUUAAUUCGAAGCAACGCGAAGAACCUUACCAAAUCUUGACAUCCUUUGACAACUCUAGAGAUAGAGCCUUCCCCUUCGGGGGACAAAGUGACAGGUGGUGCAUGGUUGUCGUCAGCUCGUGUCGUGAGAUGUUGGGUUAAGUCCCGCAACGAGCGCAACCCUUAAGCUUAGUUGCCAUCAUUAAGUUGGGCACUCUAAGUUGGCUGCCGGUGACAAACCGGAGGAAGGUGGGGAUGACGUCAAAUCAUCAUGCCCCUUAUGAUUUGGGCUACACACGUGCUACAAUGGACAAUACAAAGGGCAGCGAAACCGCGAGGUCAAGCAAAUCCCAUAAAGUUGUUCUCAGUUCGGAUUGUAGUCUGCAACUCGACUACAUGAAGCUGGAAUCGCUAGUAAUCGUAGAUCAGCAUGCUACGGUGAAUACGUUCCCGGGUCU
Molecule: ribosomal RNA, 1371 nt
Filed under: uncultured bacterium
Lineage: Bacteria
Description: bacterial SSU rRNA
Rfam family: Bacterial small subunit ribosomal RNA
Source: RNAcentral